This 106-nucleotide small nucleolar RNA is filed under the name Echinops telfairi (small Madagascar hedgehog). Its description in RNAcentral is "Small nucleolar RNA SNORA61 (ENSETEG00000025971.1)". The record is from RNAcentral. Lineage: Eukaryota; Metazoa; Chordata; Mammalia; Afrosoricida; Tenrecidae.
GCCCUCCAGUUUCCUUAUCCAUCCGAUCGACACACUGGUCUGAGUGCUUCUAAAAGAAGAAAAAGUAAAAUCAAAACGGACGUCCAUGCUUUUGUGGUACAAAAGU